This 67-nucleotide transfer RNA is filed under the name Norvellina sp. EMHAU-15062816. RNAcentral's name for it is "tRNA-Trp". The record is from RNAcentral. RNAcentral also lists the same sequence under 1 other name. Lineage: Eukaryota; Metazoa; Arthropoda; Insecta; Hemiptera; Cicadellidae.
GAGAUUUUAAGUUAAAAAUCAAACUUAUAACCUUCAAAGUUAUAUAUAUCUUCUAAGGUAAGUCUUA